GAUGAACGCUAGCUACAGGCUUAACACAUGCAAGUCGAGGGGAAACGACAUCGAAAGCUUGCUUUUGAUGGGCGUCGACCGGCGCACGGGUGAGUAACGCGUAUCCAACCUGCCCACCACUUGGGGAUAACUUUGCGAAAGUAAGACUAAUACCCAAUGGCGUCUCUAGAAGACAUCUGAAAGAGAUUAAAGAUUUAUCGGUGAUGGAUGGGGAUGCGUCUGAUUAGCUUGUUGGCGGGGUAACGGCCCACCAAGGCGACGAUCAGUAGGGGUUCUGAGAGGAAGGUCCCCCACAUUGGAACUGAGACACGGUCCAAACUCCUACGGGAGGCAGCAGUGAGGAAUAUUGGUCAAUGGACGAGAGUCUGAACCAGCCAAGUAGCGUGCAGGAUGACGGCCCUAUGGGUUGUAAACUGCUUUUAUAAGGGAAUAAAGUGAGAGUCGUGACUCUUUUUGCAUGUACCUUAUGAAUAAGGACCGGCUAAUUCCGUGCCAGCCGCCGCUGUAA
RNAcentral lists this ribosomal RNA (508 nucleotides) under uncultured bacterium. RNAcentral describes it as "partial 16S ribosomal RNA". It matches the Rfam family "Bacterial small subunit ribosomal RNA", at positions 28 to 523 of the family's 1533-position model. The record is from RNAcentral.